This 470-nucleotide long non-coding RNA is filed under the name Phascolarctos cinereus (koala). RNAcentral's name for it is "lncRNA (ENSPCIG00000023075.2)". Lineage: Eukaryota; Metazoa; Chordata; Mammalia; Diprotodontia; Phascolarctidae. The record is from RNAcentral.
GACUGUCACCCUUGUCUAGGCUGAUAGAGACAUGAGUUGCCCAAACUGGCUGAUGAAACCAUGAGGAAGUCAUGAAGCCAAGCACUGGGAAUAGUAAUGGACAGAGAAUUGGCAGAAUUCUGAAAAUGAAGACUCUUUUUCCAAAGUGAAUUGCCGGCCAUCAGCAGAGCUUCCUUGGGGCAGUGCAGACCCGGCUCUCUACUGACCAGCAAGGCAGACCAGCCGACCAAGCUCUGAAAUUCUCUGGUUCAGUGAUUGCUGAGUAUAUGAGCUACACCUGGGAUGUGCUCACAGGGGAGCAAACCCAAGACCCUCAGGCCACUAUUCAGCCCCAUCACUUUACUUGUCUCUGGAAUAGUAGCCAAGUCAAGAGGGGACCCACUAUGACCAGUCAUUGGUGCUGUGAUCUGACAGGUAAAUAAUGUGUGUAAGUAGAGGACACUCAGAAUAAAGCUCAUUGAAUCACUGCA